RNAcentral lists this ribosomal RNA (814 nucleotides) under uncultured marine eukaryote. Its description in RNAcentral is "SSU rRNA". It matches the Rfam family "Eukaryotic small subunit ribosomal RNA", at positions 411 to 1225 of the family's 1831-position model. The record is from RNAcentral.
CACUUCUAAGGAAGGCAGCAGGCGCGCAAAUUACCCAAUCCUGACUCAGGGAGGUAGUGACAGGAAAUAACAAUAAACCGGCUUAUGCCGGUUUAAUUGGAAUGAGUACAAUUUAAACAUCUUAACGAGGAACAAUUGGAGGGCAAGUCUGGUGCCGGCAGCCGCGGUAAUUCCAGCUCCAAUAGCGUAUACUAAAGUUGUUGCAGUUAAAAAGCUCGUAGUUGGAUUUCUGUGGGGACGGAGCGGCCGGCCGCACAUCGCGGUUCGAGCUAGCGCUUUCCCUACAUCCUGCCGCGAACCGUGCUACCAUUAAUUUGGUGGCGCUGGGGAUCGGCUCGAUUACUUUGAGAAAAAUAGAGUGUUCAAAGCAGGCCACAUGCCUUGAAUAAGUUAGCAUGGAAUAAUAACUAAGGACUUCGGUUCUAUUUUGUUGGUGUUCGGGACUGAAGUAAUGAUUGAUAGGGACAGUUGGGGCGGUCUGUAUUCCAAAGCGAGGGGUGAAAUUCUUAGACCUUCGGAAGACAAACAGCUGCGAAAGCGUUCCGCAAGGAUGUUCCCUUUGAUCAAGAACGAAAGUUGGGGGAUCGAAGACGAUCAGAUACCGUCGUAGUCUCAACUAUAAACUAUACCAGCUAGGGAUCGGCCAACGUUAUUUUAUACCGACUUGGUCGGCACCUUAUGAGAAAUCAAAGCAUCUGGGUUCCGGGGGGAGUAUGGUCGCAAGGCUGAAACUUAAAGGAAUUGACGGAAGGGCACCACCAGCCGUGGAGCCUGUGGCUUAAUUUGACUCAACACGGGAAAACUUACCAGGUCC